GGGCCUAUAGCUCAGUUGGUCAGAGCAGAGGACUCAUAAUCCUUUGGUCCACGGUUCAAGUCCGUGUGGGCCCACCA
RNAcentral lists this transfer RNA (77 nucleotides) under Pseudomonas fluorescens. RNAcentral's name for it is "tRNA-Ile". It matches the Rfam family "tRNA". From Rfam's summary of the family: Transfer RNA (tRNA) molecules are approximately 80 nucleotides in length. Their secondary structure includes four short double-helical elements and three loops (D, anti-codon, and T loops). RNAcentral also lists the same sequence under 247 other names. The record is from RNAcentral. Lineage: Bacteria; Pseudomonadati; Pseudomonadota; Gammaproteobacteria; Pseudomonadales; Pseudomonadaceae.